RNAcentral lists this ribosomal RNA (490 nucleotides) under uncultured Methanomicrobiaceae archaeon. Its description in RNAcentral is "bacterial SSU rRNA". It matches the Rfam family "Archaeal small subunit ribosomal RNA", at positions 536 to 1025 of the family's 1478-position model. The record is from RNAcentral. Lineage: Archaea; Methanobacteriati; Methanobacteriota; Methanomicrobia; Methanomicrobiales; Methanomicrobiaceae.
AGUCUCUGGGGAAAUCUACUGGCUUAACCAAUAGGCGUCUCAGGGAUACUGGCAGACUAGGGACCGGGAGAGGUGAGAGGUACUCCAGGGGUAGGAGUGAAAUCCUGUAAUCCUUGGGGGACCACCUGUGGCGAAGGCGUCUCACCAGAACGGCUCCGACAGUGAGGGACGAAAGCUGGGGGAGCAAACCGGAUUAGAUACCCGGGUAGUCCCAGCUGUAAACGAUGCGCGUUAGGUGUAUCGGUGACCACGAGUCACCGAGGUGCCGAAGAGAAAUCGUGAAACGUGCCGCCUGGGAAGUACGGUCGCAAGGCUGAAACUUAAAGGAAUUGGCGGGGGAGCACCACAACAGGUGGAGCCUGCGGUUUAAUCGGACUCAACGCCGGAAAUCUCACCGGAUAAGACAGCUGGAUGAUAGUCGGGCUGAAGACUCUACUUGACUAGCUGAGAGGAGGUGCAUGGCCGUCGUCAGUUCGUACUGUGAAGCAUA